Molecule: long non-coding RNA, 331 nt
Organism: Sander lucioperca (pikeperch)
Lineage: Eukaryota; Metazoa; Chordata; Actinopteri; Perciformes; Percidae
Exons: 4
Source: RefSeq, a predicted model, not a curated record
GGAGCCCAGGAGAGCCGCUCCCCGGGGACCGACGGUAACCAACUGCCGAAGCGCCAGCCGCCCGCCAGGAGAACAGGGAUGACCUUUGACCCCCGGGAUCUGUGUCGACCGCCUCAGCUGCAGCAAACCGUGCCUAAGCCGGGGAAGACGGAGCGAGGAGCCCCCAGACUACAGGCCCUUCUACUGUCGGAGCUUCCUGUUCCAGCUACUACACAGGAUGUGAGUGGUACCUGAGCUAACCACAGAGUAUUUUCAUCAUCAUCCCCAUCAUCAUCAUGUCUCCAUCCACCCCUCGUGCACCUGCCCCUGCCCCUGCCCCUUCUCCUGGUGA